AAAUGAGUUUCUUCACAUGCUGAGAGCAGUGCUCCUCAGACAGUAACAUGCACACGAAAUAUGUGAGGAUCCUGUUAAAGCACAGAUUCUGAUUCAGCAGGUCUGGGGUGGGGUCUGAAAAACUAUGUUUCUUACAAGCUUCUGGGUUAUUCCAGUGGUGCUGAUCCAAGGACCAUACUUUGUGUAGCAAGGACUUAGAAGCCUGCCUCACUUAGUGAAUGUUACAUGUGGUAGCUAUAAUUAUAUGUGUUUAGUAAUUGAUGAGCAAAAUUGAGCUGAAGUUUUUACAGUCUGAUAACAGUAUAUUCAGGGUUUUCAUAUCUCUCAUUUUCUUUAAUCCUCAUAAUUCAACACCGUAGGGAUUCAUGUCCCCAUUUACAAGUAAGAGAUUUGAGGCUCAGGGGGUAACUCAGAGUGACCAACUGUCCAAGUUUGCUUGGGAUUUUCCUGGGUCUAGCACUGGAAGUCUUGCAUCCCAAGAAUCCCCUCAGCCCCAGACAAACUAAAAGGGGUUGGUCACCCUAGAACUAAUAAGUACUCUACUGGAAUUCAAAGCCAGGUCUCUGAAUUCCAAAGAUGUAUUCUUUCCUGGAGACUAGCACUGCCUCGAGGCUAAACAGAGGAGGGAUAUAUGCUCAUACACUGUAAGAGAUUGUCUCCAAAGGUGCCCCCUCAGCCCCCAAUGAAUAAUGCCUCUCAGUACUUAUGUCUUUAUAU
Homo sapiens (human) is the source of this 717-nucleotide long non-coding RNA. NCBI's taxonomy places the organism in Eukaryota, Metazoa, Chordata, Mammalia, Primates, Hominidae. The record is from Ensembl.